UAGGGAAUAUUGGUCAAUGGGGGCAACCCUGAACCAGCGACGCCGCGUGAAGGGUGACAGGGCUUUGCCCCGUAAACUUCUGUCGGGAGGGAAAAAAGGACUGUUUGGCGGUCUGGGAUUGUACCUCUAAAGGAAGCACCGGCUAACUACGUGCCAGCAGCCGCGGUAAUACGUAGGGUGCAAACGUUGUCCGGAAUUACUGGGUGUAAAGGGUGCACAGGCGGUUUUGUGCGUCAGAGGUAAAAUCCCACAGCUCAACUGUGGACCUGCCUUUGAUACGGCGAGACUUGAGUACAAGAGAGGAUGAUAGAAUUCCUGGUGUAGCGGUGAAAUGCGUAGAUAUCAGGAGGAAUACCAGUGGCGAAGGCGGUCAUCUGGCUUGUAACUGACGCUUAAGCACGAAAGCAUGGGUAGCAAACA
Molecule: ribosomal RNA, 420 nt
Filed under: uncultured prokaryote
Description: bacterial SSU rRNA
Rfam family: Bacterial small subunit ribosomal RNA
Source: RNAcentral